AGCAGCCGCGGUAAUUCCAGCUCCAAUAGCGUAUAUUAAAGUUGUUGCAGUUAAAAAGCUCGUAGUUGAAUUUCGGGACCAAUCUGCCGGUCGUGCCUCCGGUAUGCACUGGUUUUAUUGGUUUCUCCCUUCUGACGAAUCAUGAUGUCAUUAAUUUGGUGUCAUGGGGAAUCAGGACUGUUACUUUGAAAAAAUUAGAGUGUUUAAAGCAGGCUCACGCUUGAAUACAUUAGCAUGGAAUAAUGAAAUAGGACGUUUGACCCUAUUUUGUUGGUUUCUAGGAUCGACGUAAUGAUUAAUAGGGAUAGUUGGGGGCAUUAGUAUUCAAUUGUCAGAGGUGAAAUUCUUGGAUUUAUUGAAGACUAACUACUGCGAAAGCAUUUGCCAAGGAUGUUUUCAUUAAUCAAGAACGAAAGUUAGGGGAUCGAAGACGAUCAGAUACCGUCGUAGUCUUAACCAUAAACUAUGCCGACUAGGGAUCGGAUGAUGUUAUUUUUUUAAUGACUCAUUCGGCACCUUA
This 520-nucleotide ribosomal RNA is filed under the name uncultured Glomus. Its description in RNAcentral is "SSU rRNA". It matches the Rfam family "Eukaryotic small subunit ribosomal RNA", at positions 569 to 1090 of the family's 1831-position model. The record is from RNAcentral. Lineage: Eukaryota; Fungi; Glomeromycota; Glomeromycetes; Glomerales; Glomeraceae.